Molecule: ribosomal RNA, 213 nt
Filed under: uncultured fungus
Lineage: Eukaryota; Fungi
Description: partial 28S ribosomal RNA
Rfam family: Eukaryotic large subunit ribosomal RNA
Source: RNAcentral
UUGACCUCGAAUCAGGUGGGACUACCCGCUGAACUUAAGCAUAUCAAUAAGCGGAGGAAAAGAAACUAACAAGGAUUCCCCUAGUAACGGCGAGUGAAGAGGGAAGAGCUCAAAUUUAAAAUCUGGCAGUCUUUGAUUGUCCGAGUUGUAGUCUAGAGAAGUGUUUUCCGUGUUGGACUGUGUACAAGUUUGCUGGAUACGGAACAUCAUAGA